CCUACGGGAGGCAGCAGUGAGGAAUAUUGGUCAAUGGGCGCUAGCCUGAACCAGCCAAGUAGUGUGAAGGAUGACUGCCCUAUGGGUUGUAAACUUCUUUUAUAUGGGAAUAAAGUGCAGUAUGUAUACUGCUUUGCAUGGACCUUAUGAAUAAGGAUCGGCUAACUCCGUGCCAGCAGCCGCGGUAAUACGGAGGAGCCGAGCGUUAUCCGGAUUUAGUGGGUGUAAAGGGAGCGUAGGCGGGUUGUUAAGUCAGUUGUGAAAGUUUGCGGAUCAACCGUAAAAUUGCAGUUGAGACUGGCGUCCUUGAGUACAGUAGAGGUAGGCGGAAUUCGUGGUGUAGCGGUGAAAUGCGUAGAUAUCACGAAGAACUCCGAUUGCGAAGGCAGCCUGCUGGACUGUAACUGACGCUGAUGCUCGAAAGUGUGGGUAUCAAACAGGAUUAGAUACCCUAGUAGUC
Molecule: ribosomal RNA, 460 nt
Filed under: uncultured bacterium
Lineage: Bacteria
Description: partial 16S ribosomal RNA
Rfam family: Bacterial small subunit ribosomal RNA
Source: RNAcentral